UAGGGAAUAUUGCGCAAUGGACGAAAGUCCGACGCAGCAACGCCGCGUGAGCGAAGAAGGCUUCGGGUCGUAAAGCUCUAUCGACCGGGAAGAUAAAAGACGGUACCGGAGUAAGAAGCCCCGGCUAACUACGUG
This 135-nucleotide ribosomal RNA is filed under the name uncultured bacterium. RNAcentral's name for it is "partial 16S ribosomal RNA". It matches the Rfam family "Bacterial small subunit ribosomal RNA", at positions 355 to 507 of the family's 1533-position model. The record is from RNAcentral.